GACGAACGCUGGCGGCGUGCUUAACACAUGCAAGUCGAACGGAAAGGCCCUGCUUUUGUGGGGUGCUCGAGUGGCGAACGGGUGAGUAACACGUGAGUAACCUGCCCUUGACUUUGGGAUAACUUCAGGAAACUGGGGCUCAUACCGGAUAGGCGCUCCUGCUGCAUGGUGGUGGUUGGCAAGUUUCGGCGGUUGGGGAUGGACUCGCGGCUUAUCAGCUUGUUGGUGGGGUAGUGGCUUACCAAGGCUUUGACGGGUAGCCGGCCUGAGGGGGUGACCGGCAAAAUUGGGACUGGGAUACGGCCCAGACUCCUACGGGAGGCAGCAGUGGGGAAUAUUGCAAAAUGGGCGGAAGCCUGAUGCAGCAACGCCGCGGGCGGGAUGACGGCCUUCGGGUGGUAAACCGCUUUCGCCUGUGACGAAGCGUGAGUGACGGUAAUGGGUAAAGAAGCACCGGCUAACUACGUG
This 468-nucleotide ribosomal RNA is filed under the name uncultured bacterium. RNAcentral's name for it is "partial 16S ribosomal RNA". It matches the Rfam family "Bacterial small subunit ribosomal RNA", at positions 28 to 507 of the family's 1533-position model. The record is from RNAcentral.